This 796-nucleotide long non-coding RNA is filed under the name Heterocephalus glaber (naked mole-rat). Its description in RNAcentral is "lncRNA (ENSHGLG00000036418.1)". The record is from RNAcentral. Lineage: Eukaryota; Metazoa; Chordata; Mammalia; Rodentia; Bathyergidae.
UAGAGUACAAGUCUAGAUAGAAAAAGAAAAACUUUUCCUGUCUGCCUAAGAAGUUCAUUCUCUGGAGAAGUUCCAGGCUGGGGAACACCAGGUCUAAGAGAAGAUAGGGCCAAGGUGCUGCAUGAAAAACAAGGAGAUUAAGGGAAAUUCUGCUUGAUCUGUCUCUUGCCUGUCCUGCUGUUCCAUUUUGCAGUAUCUUAUGAGAUUCCUAAGAGUAUCCUGGACACAUUGAAGAGAAGGGUGAGCCUUACUCAUUUCCAGUGAGAGAAAUGAGUGAAAUGGGUCUGAUUUACAUCACAGCCUUCUGUGGUGAAGUUGGUUUUCCUACUGUGACCUGUGCACUCCGGUCUACCAGCCUGACACUACACGCCAUCUGCUGGUUCCAAACUAUAUAGCUCCAGAGUAACUGCUGACGCUGUUGGGGAACAGAGGACCUGGCCUCCUGAAGAAGCACCAACAGGCCCUCUGCUUCAAGUUGUAGGUGUGAACAAAUCCAGACCACUAAGAGUGGAAACUGGAAGAAAUGAGGUAGUUCCAAAUGAGUGUCCCCUGAAAUCUUCAGGUCUGCACAUACCACAACCAUCAAGCACAAGCAGACCAAAACAGCAUCAGAAAGGGCCGCCCACUUGGGCUCCUGUAAGCCUUCACGUCUGAGUUCAUGUGGCUCUCACUCAGAAACGGAAGUGGAAAACCAAAUAAAGUCAACUCCACGGAGGUCCUGGGACUUAACACUGAGCAGCCACACGAAUACCAGAGUGAUGCAUCAUGAUUCAUGUUAUUACAAUAAAUGCCUAAG